ACGACCUUACUUGAACAGGAUCUGUUCUAUAGGCUCGUACUUCUGUAUCCUUGAUUUCUAAGGAGACAGGAAACUAGGUCUGGUGGAUGAACCAUGACUGCUCGACCAGAGCGUGAUUAACAGCCCCAGUGGUUAGGUUACCGAGCCGCUGGCGCAAUAGAGGAUCGUUCUCAGCUCGCUUUGGUUGGUCUGGCAGUUGUCUGACAGACU
Salvia miltiorrhiza (redroot sage) is the source of this 210-nucleotide small nucleolar RNA. RefSeq annotates it as small nucleolar RNA U3. The transcript has a single exon. The record is from RefSeq and is a predicted model, not a curated record. NCBI's taxonomy places the organism in Eukaryota, Viridiplantae, Streptophyta, Magnoliopsida, Lamiales, Lamiaceae.